This 1017-nucleotide long non-coding RNA is filed under the name Monodelphis domestica (gray short-tailed opossum). Its description in RNAcentral is "lncRNA (ENSMODG00000042066.1)". Lineage: Eukaryota; Metazoa; Chordata; Mammalia; Didelphimorphia; Didelphidae. The record is from RNAcentral.
UAAAACCAUUUUUGUGGCAGUCAUUUAAUAUAGGUAUAUGAGAGAGGAGGAGGAGAAAAAAAAGAAGAUGAAGAAGAAAAAGAACAAGAACAAGAAGAACAAGAAUGAUGAUGAGGAGGAGGAAUCUUUUGUGAUGCCUCUUCAUCUUUCAUGGAUUCUAAGAAGAGAUAAUUCAAGUCUGAACCAAGUAUAUUCUAGAUUCUCAAGCAAAGAAGUGCUUGACUUGAGCAAGUUAUCAUAUACAGUAAAGGAUGUUGCUGAACAUUUGUCAGAAAAACUGUGAUUGGAAUAAGGUGGCAGGCAGCCCUAUUGACACGAAUGGAACUGACUCCUAGGUGUAGAAGAUUCUCUGAAUAUAAAUUUAAAUAUUAAAGAAUAAUGAGGUUAUAAGUGACUAAAAAAUUGCUUUUGCUCAUGCCCAGUAGGAAAUUUUAUAAGCACUGAAUUAUGCAACUGUUUCUGUGCCUGUGAAGCACAGAAGGUUUAAUUGGCAGGUAUGUAAUUGCGUGGACUUCUCUCCUUCACCCUUAAGGCUUGGUCACUUUGUUAUGGUUGGGGUCUUCUACCUGAUUUUGAUGGUCUACUGCUUACAAAACUAUUUCCUGCUCUAAUUUGGGGGGAAAACAAUCACAUGAAGAAUGCAGCACAAUGGAUAUCUUUAAGAUGCAAAACCAACAGUUCCAAGGGCAAGCAGUUAAUCACAAAAUCUUUAUGCAGAGCCUCUUGUGUGACCAGGAAAGUUAAGGUUCUUUCCUUAUAAUGUAUUCAUUUUUGACAAUUACAUACUUACUCCAUUUUUCGUUAUAAGUGUGGAGAAUUUGUGUUGAGAAAAUACUGUUGUGAUAUUGGUAUAAUGAAAAUUUGAUUUCUAUUGUUCUCAUUUUAUUUGCUUUGCAAUUCUAUGGUUUUGAAAUGUUGAUGUUACACUAAGACUUUUAUAUUUGGUUCUGAUGGAUUAGUUUGUACAUAUGGAAUUUACUUAAGUCUUUCAGUCUGACCUUUUGGUUAUUUGGUUUG